RNAcentral lists this ribosomal RNA (255 nucleotides) under uncultured bacterium. RNAcentral describes it as "partial 16S ribosomal RNA". It matches the Rfam family "Bacterial small subunit ribosomal RNA", at positions 524 to 777 of the family's 1533-position model. The record is from RNAcentral.
UACGUAGGGUGCAAGCGUUAAUCGGAAUUACUGGGCGUAAAGCGCGCGCAGGCGGUCUUCCAAGUCAGUGGUGAAAGCCCGGAGCUCAACUCCGGAACUGCCAUUGAAACUGUAAGACUUGAGGAUGAGAGAGGUGAGUGGGAUUCCCAGUGUAGAGGUGAAAUUCGUAGAUAUUGGGAAGAACACCGGUGGCGAAGGCGGCUCACUGGCUCAUAUCUGACGCUCAGGCGCGACAGCGUGGGGAGUCAAACAGGA